GCCUAAUACAUGCAAGUCGAACGGUCUUUCUAUGGAAGCUUGCUUCCACUGAGAAGAUAGUGGCGAACGGGUGAGUAACACGUGGGUAACCUGCCCAUAAGAGGGGGAUAACAUCCGGAAACGGGUGCUAAUACCGCAUAGUUUUCUUGAUCGCAUGAUUGAGAAAGGAAAGACGGCCUUUGUGCUGUCGCUUAUGGAUGGACCCGCGGCGUAUUAGUUAGUUGGUGAGGUAACGGCUCACCAAGACGAUGAUACGUAGCCGACCUGAGAGGGUGAUCGGCCACAUUGGGACUGAGACACGGCCCAAACUCCUACGGGAGGCAGCAGUAGGGAAUCUUCCGCAAUGGACGAAAGUCUGACGGAGCAACGCCGCGUGAGUGAAAGAAGGUUUUCGGAUCGUAAAACUCUGUUGUCAGAGAAGAACAAGUUGGAGAGUAACUGCUCCAGCCUUGACGGUAUCUGACCAGAAAGCCACGGCUAACUACGUGCCAGCCGCCGC
This 499-nucleotide ribosomal RNA is filed under the name uncultured bacterium. RNAcentral describes it as "bacterial SSU rRNA". It matches the Rfam family "Bacterial small subunit ribosomal RNA", at positions 46 to 518 of the family's 1533-position model. The record is from RNAcentral.